AAAACAUGAUGACUAUAGUUUUGGUCCCAAAUGACAAACAGUGAUUACUGUCAUGAGAUCAACUGACGUU
This is a small nucleolar RNA of Chanos chanos (milkfish), 70 nucleotides long. RefSeq annotates it as small nucleolar RNA SNORD73. Lineage: Eukaryota; Metazoa; Chordata; Actinopteri; Gonorynchiformes; Chanidae. The record is from RefSeq and is a predicted model, not a curated record. The transcript has a single exon.